UGUAGUUUAGUUUAAAUAGAACAGUUAAUUUGCACUUAACCAGUGCCUUAAAGCAUCUGC
This 60-nucleotide transfer RNA is filed under the name Lumbriculus variegatus. RNAcentral describes it as "tRNA-Ala". The record is from RNAcentral. Lineage: Eukaryota; Metazoa; Annelida; Clitellata; Lumbriculida; Lumbriculidae.